This 663-nucleotide long non-coding RNA is filed under the name Mytilus galloprovincialis (Mediterranean mussel). The record is from RNAcentral. Lineage: Eukaryota; Metazoa; Mollusca; Bivalvia; Mytilida; Mytilidae.
GAGUAAUAUUUAACAAGAGUGCACACGCUGAAAUGUCUCGCCUUCUAUAUUAAUCAUUGAUAUUAUGUUGAUAGUCCUAAGUAUAAAGCUUUAUAACAACUGUCUCAUUAACUUAACAUUAACCAAAAUAACUAAACAAAGACCAAUGAACCAUGAAAAUGAGGUCAAGGUCAGAUGAACCAUGCCAGGCAGACAUGUACAGCUAACAAUGCUUCUAUACAACAUAUAUAGUUGACCUAUUACUUAUAGUUUAAGAAAAAUUGACCAAAACAUAAAAAAUUAACACUGUGCAAUGAACCAUGAAAAUGAGGUCAUGGUCAAAAGAAACCUGCCCUACUGACAUAAAGAUCAUAAAAUAUUUCCAUACACCAAAUAUAGUUGACCUAUGGCAUAUAGUAUUAGAUAAAUAGACCAAAACUCAAAAACUUAACUUUGACCACUGAACCAUGAAAAUGAGGUCAAGGUCACAUGACAUCUGCCCGCUAGACAUGUACACCUUACAAUCAUUCCAUACAACAAAUACAGUAGACCUAUUGCAUAUAGUAUGAAAAAAACAGACCAAAACACAAAAAUUUAACUAUAACCACUGAACCAUGAAAAUGAGGUCAAGGUCAGAUGACACCUGCCAGUUGGACAUGUACACCUUACAGUCCUUCUAUACAC